Long non-coding RNA from Nicotiana attenuata, 414 nucleotides. RefSeq lists it as uncharacterized. NCBI's taxonomy places the organism in Eukaryota, Viridiplantae, Streptophyta, Magnoliopsida, Solanales, Solanaceae. The record is from RefSeq and is a predicted model, not a curated record. The transcript is spliced from 2 exons.
CAUUCACCAAAGCUAAUGCAAACACCCAAAUCAAAGAAAGAACCCUAAUCAUACACAACGCCCAAUUCGUUUCUCUCUCUAAUCUCGAUGUUCUCUCUCGCUAGACCUUUUUUUAAACGAUCGGUCUCUACUGUGAGAGUUCCGUCGGCCCUCCCCUUCUCGCUCUCACAAUGGUCUCGCAACUCUCGUUAUCUGAAGAUCCAUGAAGCAGCUUUGAUCACAUGGAACCAUAUUGCUUUGCCACAGUUAUGUAAUGACCUCCAAGUUAAGCUACGACUCCCUUUGAUUAACAUUCAGUUUCAUGGUGCCUACCUACUAGAAUGCGGAAUGCACUGUACUUAUAGUGAUAAUCUCUUCUCUGAAGAAUAUUUUAUGUCAGAAGCUAUCUAAGUGAAUGGUAUUCUUACUUUACAA